This 252-nucleotide unclassified non-coding RNA is filed under the name uncultured fungus. RNAcentral describes it as "partial contains 5.8S ribosomal RNA, internal transcribed spacer 2, and large subunit ribosomal RNA". The record is from RNAcentral. Lineage: Eukaryota; Fungi.
AACGCAUAUUGCGCCCUUUGGUAUUCCGGAGGGCAUGCCUGUUCGAGCGUCAUUUUCACCGUAUCAAGCGUGGCUUGUGGUUGGGCCCUUUGUCACUUGGUGACAGGUCCGAAAGACAACGACUGGUGUCGUACCGACGCUGUAUGCAACGAGCUGAUCACAGCACGCAUCUGGCAGUUGUGUGGCCCGGUCUGCCCCCCUUUCUUUCUCCAGGUUGACCUCGGAUCAGGUAGGAAUACCCGCUGAACUUAA